RNAcentral lists this microRNA precursor (198 nucleotides) under Dichanthelium oligosanthes. RNAcentral describes it as "MIR1435 microRNA precursor family". It matches the Rfam family "MIR1435 microRNA precursor family". Lineage: Eukaryota; Viridiplantae; Streptophyta; Magnoliopsida; Poales; Poaceae. The record is from Rfam by way of RNAcentral.
UUGGUUUGUCCUAAGUCAAACUUAUUCAAUUUUGACCAAAUUUAUAGAAAAAUAUAAAAAUAGCUAUAUUACCAAAUAUAUGUACUAUCAAAAUAUAUUCUAUGAUGGUUUCAAUGGAACAAAUUUGAUAUCAUAGAUAUUGUUAUAUUUUUCUAUAAGCUGUCAAACAUGGACAAAUUUGACUUAGGACAAACCAUA